Molecule: small nuclear RNA, 107 nt
Filed under: Ictidomys tridecemlineatus (thirteen-lined ground squirrel)
Lineage: Eukaryota; Metazoa; Chordata; Mammalia; Rodentia; Sciuridae
Source: RNAcentral
GUGCCCACUUCGGCAGCAUAUACACUAAAAUUGGAGUCACACAGAGAAGAUUAGCACAGCCCAAAUGCAAGAAUCACAUGUGAAUUUGUGAAGCAUUCCAUGUUUUU